GCUUUGUAUCGGACAAUUGCGCCCCGCUUUGCGGGGUGAGGAAAGUCCGAACACGGCCCUGUCAUUUGACAGGGAGCACGGUAGUGUCCCGAUCCGCCUAAGGUGGGUCGAGGAUCCGCGAUUCGCCUAAAGCGAAUCGGGAGGUAACACCCAUCCGCCGCAAGGCGCGAGGUGCGAACAGAGACGCUUUUUGUUUGAAAAGACAAAAGCGCCCCGUCAAAUGAUGGGGCGAGCUCCCGCAGUAAUGCAGGAGAUGAAACGGCUAAACCCUUACCUUCGUGCAAGGUCGUACGCCGAUGCGGAGCAUCGGAAAUUUCAAGCUCCAAGAAACAAGCUCCAAACAAAUCACAAAUUCCAAUUUUCAAAACAACAAACGGAGAAUUUUUGUUUGGAAUUUUCGGGUAUUGGAUAUUGUUUGCCUGCCUGCCGCAGACAGGGAAUUUGAUUAUUGGUUAUUGGAGCUUCCGCUGCUCCGUAGCGGCGGGUACCGCUUGAGCCCGCAAGUAAUUUCGGGCCUAGAUAAAUAAUUGUCGUCCGCCUUAGGCGGAUACAGAACUCGGCUUAUAGAUACAAAGCACAU
This 580-nucleotide RNase P RNA is filed under the name Candidatus Taylorbacteria bacterium RIFCSPHIGHO2_01_FULL_45_63. Its description in RNAcentral is "RNase P RNA component class A". It matches the Rfam family "Bacterial RNase P class A". Rfam says of the family: Ribonuclease P (RNase P) is a ubiquitous endoribonuclease, found in archaea, bacteria and eukarya as well as chloroplasts and mitochondria. Its best characterised activity is the generation of mature 5'-ends of tRNAs by cleaving the 5'-leader elements of precursor-tRNAs. Cellular RNase Ps are ribonucleoproteins. Lineage: Bacteria; Candidatus Tayloriibacteriota. The record is from RNAcentral. RNAcentral also lists the same sequence under 2 other names.